GAUGAACGCUGGCGGCGUGCCUAAUACAUGCAAGUCGAGCGAACAGACGAGGAGCUUGCUCCUCUGACGUUAGCGGCGGACGGGUGAGUAACACGUGGAUAACCUACCUAUAAGACUGGGAUAACUUCGGGAAACCGGAGCUAAUACCGGAUAAUAUAUUGAACCGCAUGGUGCAAUAGUGAAAGACGGUUUUGCUGUCAAUUAUAGAUGGAUCCGCGCCGCAUUAGCUAGUUGGUAAGGUAACGGCUUACCAAGGCGACGAUGCGUAGCCGACCUUAGAGGGUGAUCGGCCACACUGGAACUGAGACACGGUCCAGACUCCUACGGGAGGCAGCAGUAGGGAAUCUUCCGCGAUGGGCGAAAGCCUGACGGAGCAACGCCGCGUGAGUGAUGAAGGUCUUCGGAUCGUAAAACUCUGUUAUUAGGGAAGAACAAAUGUGUAAGUAACUAUGCACGUCUUGACGGUACCUAAUCAGAAAGCCACGGCUAACUACGUG
This 497-nucleotide ribosomal RNA is filed under the name uncultured bacterium. RNAcentral describes it as "partial 16S ribosomal RNA". It matches the Rfam family "Bacterial small subunit ribosomal RNA", at positions 28 to 507 of the family's 1533-position model. The record is from RNAcentral.